ACUUGUACAUACGCUUCGCGAAAUAAAUUUACGUACAUUUCGCGCCAUGCUGCGCUACUACGUUUACAGAUUUGACUUACGAAAAUUUCAGACAAUUAGUCGAAAUAAAACAAAACAUCUAUAGUAUUGUUAUGAGUAUUAUUAUAAGAUAUCUGGAAUAUUUAAAAUUGUUCGCAAACAGAUAAAUUAAGAUUGUUAUUGUUAUCCAAAAUGCGAUCCAAGCCAAACGAGCGACCAAACUCGAGCAACCAAAUAGGAUGAAAUUCUGAGCGCGAGAGAGAGGUGGAGCAAAUCUCACGUCUGUGUAUUAUCAUCCUUUUGAUGUCCUUCUCAAAGCCGGACCUUGUCGAGCUUACAUUCCUGGCUGCUGUAAGCACAGGGAGGUAGAAGCUGUAAAUUUCGACAACUGAACAAACAUAUUACUUGAGGAGAUUGUUAUCAUUUACCAAGGUUUUCCAUUUUCCAAAAUUACUGGAAACUCGAGUGCCAUCCCUGUAUCGCUGGAAUCUACUGGAGUGUACUGGACAAUACAGGGAGACAACGGGGCUUUAUUAAGCUUAUUAACGGAACAUACAAGGGUGGACGUAUCUACGUCGGUGGUUGGGGAAAGUAUAGCCGCUGAGAGAUGUGAGGAUGGAAGAAAUUAGAUCAAAGGUGUCAAGAAAAUCCAAGGAUUUAGCUCGCAUACCCUUCAAAGGUGAUCAAGAACAUCGUUUAAUUUAUGCAACAAUGGUCGCAACUGCUGAAGAAUAACAUUCAUCUGGGCCAGUGGCCCAGCAAGAAGCAUCGAGAUCCGCGAAAAAGGAAAAGGGGUCGAGAGAAGGAGAUGGAAAGCGGUGGAGAUGCAAAGGAACGUAAUCGCAGAGGUGGGGCGAGCGAUGCAUGAUGCGGGAGAGCUUGACCCCUCCACCUGCUUCCCCAACGAGAAGCUCCGCCUCCAGGAACUCGGGUGACGUCACACGGACACUUGUUACGCCUUGCCGUUGCUUGAUGGGAUGCUGUACCGCUGAGAUUUUGCAGAAACCAAAAGAAACCGAUCGACAUACCGAGGAUUGUGCAAUAAGAAAAUCACCAGUCACCGAGUAGGAAAACGUGAAAGGCUGUGCUGACACACUGGAAAUCCCACGAAUUUAUUCCGAUGCGCGAUUGCGAUGCAUAUCACGUCUGUUGGCUCAUGAUCUGGCGAACAUCAGUGCAACGUCUCCUUCGUGAAGUAACGGUCAUCGUUUUAUCAGCAGAACGGCGGAAAUGCAGAGGAAACAAUAUUUUCUCGUCGACGAGGCACACGAACGUUGGAGACUCGUCGGAGCCGCAGAGAUCGCGGUUCGAAAAGUGGCGCAACGACACGGACGUGGGGCGGGCGGCUCGCGGCGUGGUGGGAGCGCUGGAGCGUAGCCCGCUCCAGCCGCCGAGGGGCGUCAGUUCGGAGGCAGAAGCGGUGGCGGGGGGUCCAGGAUCACGGGGCUUAGGCCGUCCCGGGCCGCUAACGCGCGGAACACGCGGCCCGCUGAGCCGCUCCGCGCGGCAUUACGUCGCGCACCGUCGACCGCGACUGACGUAUGCGCGAGAGGAUCGUCGACCGGAUCGCCUCAUCGACAAUCGCGAUCAUGACGCAGCUCGUCGCCAGAAGGAAAUGUCAGAAGGCGUUAUGUAGGAAAAGUGCGUCGUUUAUCCACGUGUAACGUAUCGUGACGUUAUACCGGAUUCGAGUAAUCAACGCCUGUGGAUCAUUCGGCGGCGACAACCUGUCGGAGCAGAGAUCGCGGGACAGAUAAUUUAGGUGGUGCUGCCGCGGCGAACAGUGUUCCCAGAGAGAGAGAGAGAGAGAGAGAAAGAGAGAGAUCUGAAUACGGUGACAAAUAUAUCUUGGUGACGGUUUAGAAACAUUGCCGGGUGUUGAGUGAACUGCCGAUGGACAGUGACAGCGUACUCUGAAUUACCGGACUCGCGCAAGAAGUGCAACGGUACAUCGUAAGAUCUAGAUCUGAAAACAGCCGGCCUCCGUCAAUCACGGAGCAAGAGCGGAACGCGAUACCACGGUGUUGGGAUUCCUGCCUGUGCUAUGACGAUCUCGCGACUGAAAAACAUGAAAAUUUAUGCGAUUGUCGAGGACGAGGGAAGCUGGUAAGUGUGUGAGGCACGACGAAGUCGCCUCCGUCCGCGAAGUAAGUGAAAAUCACGACGUCCCGGCCGAGGGGUGCGUGCUUGGGCGACGAGGGACGGCUACUGGCCGAUGGGAUGCAUCUACCGGUGGGUACCGUGGGCUGCGGGGAGAAUUACGGCACCGUUGGAUCCCACGAAGGCGCCGGCCCGUGCGGUCCCUCCCUGGCGCCGCUGCAAGGUGUGAACAGCAGGUACCACCAGGUAGACGACGCCGACGUCGGAGGUGGAGGCGGCGAGAUGAGCGAGAGUGCCGCCGUCGGCGAACUAUGGUGGACCGAAAGGCUCGUCGGUGAGGCGCAGGCCGAACAUCCUGGAGAACUUGUCAGAACAGGAUCGCCUUACUUCUUAUGCAGUCAAUUACCGACGCACUGGCGGUCCAACAAAACACUUCCAGUGGCGUUCAAAGUAGUUGCUCUCGGCGAGGUCGGCGAUGGGACUCUGGUAACGGUCCGUGCCGGUAACGAUGAAAAUUGUUGCGCGGAGCUGCGAAAUUCCACCGCGUUGAUGAAGAAUCAAGUCGCCAAGUUCAACGACCUAAGGUUCGUCGGCAGAAGCGGCAGGGGAAAGAGCUUUAGCAUCACCAUUACCGUAUCGACGACACCACCCCAAGUGGCAACCUACACGAGAGCGAUUAAGGUGACCGUCGACGGACCACGGGAGCCGCGAUCGAAAACGAGACAACAACAUCAGCAAUUUCGCGCGCUCGGUCUGGGACAGAGGCCUUUUCUCGACGCGCCGACCCCGUUCAGGACUCACUUGCGGGAACUCGAGUCCUUCGGAAGGAAUAAGCAUCACCAUCAUCACAGCGGCAGUCACUUACACGACCAGCAGACCGGCAACAACGUCACCACGAAUUCGGUUAGCGGUGCCUGCACCAACCCCAACAACACCGACCCGACCGCAUCGCCGGCUUCCAGUACACACCUCGGGGCUACCGGCGGCUCCUCUGCUCAUCAGGAUUGCUACAAGCGCAGUCCUCAACACGGCGACACGGGCGUAGGUACCACGGAAUGGACGUAUCCCACGGCGCCGUCUUAUCCGGCUCCUCCGGUCAGCAGCAGCGGUUCCUAUUCCCCGUUGCCCGGCGGUGCGUUUUCGUACCCGGGAGAAUCAUUGUCGCAUCAUCCGACGACAGAACCGGUGCCAUUGCCAACCGUGCUCUCCUCGGAGAAUCAGCAGGACACUUACACGCCGAAUUGCGUGUCCAUGUACUCGGGACACGGCACCUCGCCGACGACAUCCUUGCCCUUGGUGCCGACCAGAGCGAGCGAUCCCGACAUCUUCGCCAGCGGCGGCACGGGCAACGCGGGCAGUCCGAGUUACCAUUACAGUUCGUGGACGCCUGGCCCGGCGACCCCGGUCCCGGUGGCUUCCCACAAUUACAACCCCAAUUAUCAGGGUUACUACAACAAUCCGGGCCAGAAUUACAUCACCCCGGCGCCGAUGGUGCUCUAUCCGCAGCUCUACAGCACCGUCAAUCAGAAUCAGAUCCACCUGCAUCUGCACGGCGACCUAAGCGAGGAGCAGGUCACCAUAGCCGGCGGCAAUCUGACUAUCAGUAGCAUCCGAGAGAUCGGCGUGCUGGAGGAGAGCGAGCAGAGGAACGACGUGUGGAGACCGUACUAAAAGAGCAAAAGGUCUUUGAUGGUAUAAUUUAAAAUUAUCGUGCGUGAGUUACAAUGCGCGCGCCUCCAACAACGUAGUCUCUGAUUAUCAUGCAUCUGACGAAACGUCGACAAAGAUAGCGGGAUAUGCGCUAAGUAUCUUUUCAGAAGAAGGAUAUGUGUGAAAUCAUUGGACCUGAUUACUGCUGUAUGAGCGGCGGAAUCUCUUCCGAUCAGCCGCGCGCAAAUUAUCGUAACUGCAAUAAACCGGCUGACACACGAUGUCCGGUUUCGUAAUAGUGAUCGCGGGCGAAAGUGGAAAUUACUGACUCGUUCACGUUGAAUGUGAGACGAAGUGAAGACGAACUUCGAUAAAAAAACUCGUCAGCUUGUGGAAAAAAAAAUCAGCGAGCAGUGAGAUCUCAUAAAUCGAAACGUGAGACUAAUCGGUGAUGAUUCUUCUUAAGUGCUAGGCGGAGAGAUAUCUUUCUUGCUUGUUUCUCCCGGUCAAAAAUUGGAUCGUGAGAAUAUCAUUUGGUUCUCGAAUGAAGAAAUAAGUCAAACGCUGUAACGUUGUAAAUACACAAAUAUUUUCAGAAAUGAAAUAAAACCUUGCCCGACAGGUUCCUAAAUCCCUUCUCUCGAUACUUAUGGAAAAAAGGUCAACUUCGUUGGCUCGCGCGCAGUGCACGAAUCUUGAGUUAGAAAUCUGUUAGGGACAAUGGAUUUCUACAAAGACGUACUGUCGCAUCGUAUUCGAUAGGAAAUAAUAGAAGAUAAUGGAAGAUUGUCUAAAUAUACAUUAGAGUAAAAUUACUACGUGGGUGAAAACUUAAUAAGCGUCUCGGCGAUUUUGCCGUUUGACAAUAUAUGUACAACGACGAAGUAAUUUUCAUAAGUCAUAACUAGAAUCAAGAGGUAUAAUAAGAAAUAACUGCUAAAGAAACACGAAGUACCCAACAAGUGGCCUAAAAUAAAAAGAACAUUAUUAGUAAUAUUACAUUCACAAAGAACUCAUCACAAACAUUCCACGACUCCUUCGUUCACGAAAAAAAUCAGAAUCACAAAAAUGAUGCGUAAAUCAAUGGUUAGUAUUCUGUGAAUUUUUCUUUUUCUCUUCGAAGUAGAUGAAACGGGACAGAAUACGCAGAGUUACGAUUAGAGAAUUGCCGGAUAACGGAAAGCUGGACGAAAAAUUUCUUCUACUUGAACGACUUUGCACUUCGGAGAGAGAUCAUCUCGCUCUUCUCCUACUUCUCUUGCCGCGAUGUUUACAGCCCCGACGCGUCCUGCGAAUGGGACGCCACGGAAUAAAACCACGGAAUAAGCAGAGGCGGCCGUCGCUCGUAAGCUUCUCUCUUUACGAGGAUGACUCGACUCGCAGCCGACCGCAGACAAGAGUCUCCCGCCCUUUUCUGCGCCCGUUAAGACGAAAUACGUUUCGUCCCGCAGGAAAUGGUCGACAUCUUCUGGUACCAGCCGAGCACGGCCGAUGGGUAUAAAUCGCGCGACCCCGAUCGAAGCAGUCCUUAAAUCCAAAAUAAAAUAUUGCUUGCAAACCUUACGCAUCCGACUUUGAAUAAA
Non-coding RNA from Linepithema humile (Argentine ant), 5351 nucleotides. The record is from RefSeq and is a predicted model, not a curated record. Lineage: Eukaryota; Metazoa; Arthropoda; Insecta; Hymenoptera; Formicidae.